This 440-nucleotide ribosomal RNA is filed under the name uncultured bacterium. RNAcentral's name for it is "partial 16S ribosomal RNA". It matches the Rfam family "Bacterial small subunit ribosomal RNA", at positions 338 to 795 of the family's 1533-position model. The record is from RNAcentral.
CCUACGGGUGACAGCAGUGGGGGAUAUUGCACAAUGGGGGAAACCCUGAUGCAGCGACGCCGCGUGUGGGAAGACGGUCCUCUGGAUUGUAAACCACUGUCCCCAGGGACGAAGAUGACGGUACCUGGGGAGGAAGCUCCGGCUAACUACGUUCCAGCAGCCGCGGUAAUACGUAGGGAGCGAGCGUUGUCCGGAAUUACUGGGUGUAAAGGGAGCGUAGGCGGGGAUGCAAGUUGGGUGUAAAAACUACCGGCUCAACUGGUAGUCGCACUCAAAACUGCAGGUCUUGAGUGAAGUAGCGGCAGGCGGAAUGCCUAGUGUAGCGGUGAAAUGCGUAGAUAUUAGGAGGAACACCAGUGGCGAAGGCGGCCUGCUGGGCUUUUACUGACGCUGAGGCACGAAAGUGUGGGGAGCAAACAGGAUUAGAUACCCUUGUAGUC